AACAACUUGUAUUAUGGCAGUAAUGCCGAAAUCGUCAAAAAAUUUGGCUGUCCUACAAACAGCCAAUCUUUUUUCGCGAUUUCAACAUUGGUCAAUUCACUACGCAGAGUAGGGCUAGUGAAGAAAAUGUCAUUCUGUAUAUUGUAUUAAUUUUUACGUGAAAACAAGCCAUUUGCUCUCUGAUAGACAAAUACUAAAUUGGAAACCUGUUUGGAAACGUGAUUUCUUGGUAAUACCAGGAGGCCUACCGCGAACCAUGUUCGACGUGUUGCCUCUCUGUCGCACUUGUAGAUUCGUACGUUAGCGUGAUGGGAGGUAACACGUCGAACGUGGUUCGCGGUAGGCCCUCAGAGACGUGAAACGGGACGGGUAUAAAAUUGAUUUGCCAAUUAAAUCAUUAACAGAAGCGGUCACAACCAUAUUUGUUAACUAUUAUCUUAUUUGACAUUUAGUUAUGUCAUGUAUAUAAUGGCUGCAGAUUGUACAUUGUAUAAUAUUAGCAUUAUUUUAUUUUUUGUGUAUCAAUAUUAUCGAGUAAUCUAAUAAAGGUUGUCUGGGCUCCUACCGGGAAAAUCGAAGUUCGUCAAUUGCGGGCAUUUUUCUCUGUCACUCUAAUUACGUCUUAGUAAGAGUAAAAGAGAAAGAUCCCCGCAAUUUGCGAAUUUCGGUUUUCGCGGUAAGCCCCCUGUUAUGUUGACUUAAAAUAGCUAGUAAAACUUAGGGAAUGCGGCGUCAAGACUCGGCACUAAAAAAGUUAAUAUCAAUGUGUCAUUUAAACACCGUUAUAUAUCAUAUAAGUGACUUAUAGUUAUAAAAUAUAAAAUGACACUCAAUAUUGACUUAGCAGAAAGAGACUGUAUGCAUAGAGAAAAAAAUAAGCUUAGAGUGCUCAAUCCAUAUAUCACUUUCCUUGAGUAAUAGAUAAUAAGGGCUCAUUUACACGGUGCGAGAACUCGCAUGCGAGUUUCAUUACAUUGCGGUAUUUGAUCGGUCGCCGAAUUAGUUGUAACCUCAAUAGUCCGCAAUGUAACUAAAAUCGCAUGCGAGUUUCAUUACAUUGCGGUAUUUGAUCGGUCGCCGAAUUAGUUGUAACCUCAAUAGUCUGCAAUGUAACUAAAAUCGCAUGCGAGUUUCAUUACAUUGCGGUAUUUGAUCGGUCGCCGAAUUAGUUGUAACCUCAAUAGUCCGCAAUGUAACUAAAAUCGCAUGCGAGUUCGCGUGCCGUCUAAAUCGGCCCUAAGUUGUAAAGAAGGUAUGAUAAAACGUAUUAUGAAUAAGUUUUAAACUGGUUUAAAUCUAAUACUUAUAUUUUAUUACAAAUAAGUUUUCGCAAAACUCGCUUAAAACUUAUUAUAAAUAAGUUUUAUCGGGUUAGUAUCACGGGGUCUAAUUAGCAACUCGUCUAUAGGGCUACUCGUCUAAGUCGCAGCUGGUCUACAUCACCUUCGUCUAAAUAUCAAUUGGUCUAAAAAGCAGCUGGUCUACAAUUUUCUAAGUAGCAUCUCGUCUAAAUAGCAAUUGGUCUAAAAAGCAGCUGGUCUACUCUUUCUAAGUAGCAAGCAUCUCGUCUGAGUUGCAAUAUUAUUAGUCUUUCUGAUCAACUUUUAUUAAAGGAGCAAACCUGCCAACCCUGAAAUCUCAUUAAAAAAAUUACCUGCUUCAUACAUUUCGUCCGAUCAGAAGUCGACAUCAUCUUUAUCGCCUUGAAAAUAAAGGUGUUGUUCCGAUAUUUGUCACCCACCUCCACAGCUCCGAAAUAUCUGAUGGCGACUGUACCAGGUGAUCAGGUAGGCCAUACUGAUCAACUUUUGUUAUGGCACUAAGCCUGAAAUCUGAAAAAAAUAUUGGACCCCCAAUACAAAAUGUCGACUUCUGAUCGGACGAAAUGUAUGAAGCAGGUAAUUUUUUUAAUGAGAUUUCAGGGUUGGCAGGUUUGCUCCUUCAAUAAAAUUUGAUCAGAAAGACUAAUAAUAUUGCAACUCAGACGAGAUGCUUGCUACUUAGAAAGAGUAGACCAGCUGCUUUUUAGACCAAUUGCUAUUUAGACGAGAUGCUACUUAGAAAAUUGUAGACCAGCUGCUUUUUAGACCAAUUGAUAUUUAGACGAAGGUGAUGUAGACCAGCUGCGACUUAGACGAGUAGCCCUAUAGACGAGUUGCUAAUUAGACCCCGUGAUACUAACCCGUUUUAUCUGUCUGUAGUGAGCACUCUAAGCCUACUUAUGUAUCUACGCCAUAACCAUUGUGAAAUGAGUAAUAUAAUGAAUAAGAUCUCAUGGAAAAUAUAUUGAGAAGUUAUUGAGACGAUAAAUAGCAUAUUUUGCGGUUGAGAUUGGCACUUUCAUUUGCUUUAUUAAAUUAUUUUCGUAUGCUAUUUAAUCACAUAAGGUACGUAACUGUGGGGAAGACCGUGUAGGUAUAAGGGAAGACCGGGUACAUGUUCUUUCGCUUUAAAUUCUUGCGUACACAUACUCCACUUACAGAAGGUCGGUAGAUAAUGAGUGGAGCUCUUUCUGACUGUGUUUGAGGGAAGUAUGUAAACAAACUUGCCCAAUGAUGGUCUUCCUGCAAUAAAUUGCACAUGCCGUCUUCUCCACAUUUACCUUGAUAUAAAAAAAAGGUUUUCUAGGAAAUUGUUAAAUCUGUUUUAUUUUAAAUUCGAUUGUCAGCUUAUCAAACGAAGGCGGGUCGGCAUGCCGCUUCGGUGUGUGAGUGAGACAGUGUUAUGCCUGUAUAUAGCAAAGUUUCGCUCGCACACCGGAGCGGAGCGCGUAAUAAAGUGAUUCUAUUGCGUAUUGAGUUAAAUGAUUGUCACAUAAUUUUAGUGUUAUUAAUAUUUCUUUAAACGAUGUUAAUAUUUUUUGGCUUAUAGCUAAUUGUUUACAGUUCCGAUAUUAUAAUUAUUUUUGUGUAAUAUUGUAAUUAUAUUAUUAUAGUACAUUAAAGGCGUGGUUGGUUCGCGUAUUGUUUUAAUAUUAAACGCUAAAAGCGUUUUCUUAUCACUUGCGUGGAAUAAUCACGUCUCCUCCCUAUAGCUGUAUAUGACGUUAGACAGGGCUAAAUAAUUCAAAUAAGUUGAAACACACCAAAAUCUGCUAUUAAUAUUAAUGAACCGAGUUCUAAAAUAUAGUAAACUAGGAUUUUAAAUUGACAUCUUUAUUCGAGUUAGGUAUUCUGUAUAUAUUUGAUAAUUUAUUUUAGAGCACUAAUAAUUUCUUCCGAAGCAUUAUCUAUUGACAAUUUACACACUCAAAUAAAAUAUGAAUUAAAACCUGCAAUAUGAGACACACAACUGUCAGGAUAGUACGGAGUGUUACGGCCAUCCAGACAAAAACCACGCCCCAACGUUAUUUUAGCCCUGUUUUUUAAAUGUGUAUAUUAGAUUAGGUUAAUUAAUCCACAAGUGCUCUGUUGGUGAUACCAAGACAUAGAUGGUAAUUAUGUAUCGUGAAAUUUAAUAAAUGUAGGGUGAGUUGACAGUCAUAGAGUAUUUAGCAAAGUAAUUAAUUAAUGUAGUAUCUCCGGGAAGAAAACGAUGAAUAUUAGACAGGCAAUCACUUUUACAUGGCUGUCUUAUAAGUUAUUAUGACAUAACUAUAGAUAUUAUUAGAUUUUAUAGUCAAUUUACCAUUUAUCUAUGCAUUCUCUGACUGUCAUUACAUCCUCGUAUGGUGGAUAGCAAUAACUUGUAAAGUAACACUGGUUCAAAGUGUCGAGGUAAAAUAAAUGUAUACAAAGUUGAAGUAAUUCAAGGUCACCACUUUUGUUUCAAUCGUAUACAUAUUUAUGAGCAACUCUGUCGCUCACAUAUUAUUGUCGAGUGCGCUUUUCCUCGUCCCACUAUUUCGUACGGAACAUGUAUUUUGCGAUAGAGGAAAGGUUAAUUUAAGCGUUAAAAAUAUUAGAUUUUGUUCGGGUUAUUUUCUAGGUGCAAUACCAUUGUGAUGAGUAGAUGGGACUGCUUCGCAUACAUCUUUCAACUAUACAGUAAAUGCUGGUAAUUUUGCACGCCUAAGUGAACGAUAUUUUUUUUUUUUUUCUGGCUGUUUAAAGUGUAAGUGACGUUGGAUGUACAUUCUGUAUCGGAGCAAAAAUUGGCAAUAAUUAAAUUCGAUAAAGUUGGUCUUAGAAAAUACAUUUUCUUUAUUUACUAAACGACAUAUUAAGGUGAAAAGAUGUAUAUUUUUUACUGUCAACAUGCUGUUUUUCUCUAUUGAUAACAACAUAAGAUCCUUAGAGCAAAGUUAAGCCAUUGCUAAAAUUGCAUCCGAUUUUACCUCCGAUCGAAAAGAAGUGUAUUUUUUGUUUGUGCAUUAGUUUUAAUUCAGAUUAUAGGGGUCGAAGACUGUAAAUGGCUUAUGUAUUGGUGAUAAUUAUAAAGUAACCACUUUGCAAAAGUUCCGUAGACAUCAAUAACACCCAGCACGAUUUGAUAUUAAACCUUUUCCAUGCCGCACCAAUCUACAAGGUUUUCCCAAAAAAUCCAAAUAUAUUGCAAUAAAUCCAGCUUUGAUGAUUCAUUUGAAGACAAGUAACAUUUCCUGAAAGUAUAAUCUAAUAUGAACCUUAAAUCGGAAUGCUAAAGUUGAAAUUCUAAUGGCGCGUAUGUGGUCGAUAAAUCGUACUAUGCCUGGAAAAGAGUUAAAUUCGGGCCCGAUGGCUAUGCAACGUUAAAUAAAAUCAUUUUUCAUCAUAUAAAUUACCUUUACUUCAGUCUAUUCGGCAACCAAAAAUGUCUCCCUUGUGUUACAUCAUAAAUCGCCUGUAAUAGACGAAAGGGAAGAUGAUAAAAAAUAAAUAAAUGUUGAUAUUAGAUUGAUUGUAAAAAAAAAUUAACAUAAAUUUUGACUAAAUUAAGAUAUGGGUAAUGUACAAUACGAUUUUAGUACAAACGUUGGGUAGCCAUAAAGUAAAAUGUGUAAAAAUAUGAGUUCAUAAACAAUACCAUACUUAUGCCAAUAAUACCGAUAAGCUUUGUGUUCACAUAUUAUCUAUUACAAUUUUACAUGUCAACAACUAUAGACCUAUCAUUUUAAAUUCGGCCAGUUUAGAUUGUUUUUAUUUCAGCUUUAGAUAAAAAAUGUAGUUUUCUUCCUUCCUAAUUCUAUACAAUAAUGUGCCCUACAAUCUAUUCUCCUGCGUUACGGAAAGUCCCUCAGUGGAAAAUCUUAAUCAUUUUCGGAACAAAAUCGUCAAUAUAAUAAGAAUCUAAAGCUACUAUGAGCUUUUGCCUCGCCGAAUAAUUUAAUUUGAUAUAUUUAACCGUUAACAGUCUAAUUAUCUACAUGGAAUAUCUUAAAAAAUUACUCAAUGGGAAUUCUAUUGCGUUUUUUUUUGUAUUUACCAGACUUUUGGCCUAAGGGCUAACAUCGAAGUUAGAAAUAUCUAUCUCUAUCUCUCUUUGGCUGGAGGGACAGAUAAAGAUAAGCUAAUUUCGAUUUUCGUUAUCCUUUGUGUCAUGUAAAAUGUGCUGUCUAUAGUCGCAAUAUGUGUAUAUUUGAAAUGUCAGACGAAUGUAUCCGGUUGUAUUAUAUCGAUUCAACUGAAAAUAUUUAAUUAAAAUAAAAUGUUUAUGCUUAAA
Long non-coding RNA from Cydia pomonella (codling moth), 5580 nucleotides. RefSeq lists it as uncharacterized. Lineage: Eukaryota; Metazoa; Arthropoda; Insecta; Lepidoptera; Tortricidae. The transcript has 2 exons. The record is from RefSeq and is a predicted model, not a curated record.